RNAcentral lists this long non-coding RNA (854 nucleotides) under Equus caballus (horse). Its description in RNAcentral is "lncRNA (ENSECAG00000052262.1)". Lineage: Eukaryota; Metazoa; Chordata; Mammalia; Perissodactyla; Equidae. The record is from RNAcentral.
GUUGAACUGCUGGCAGGGUCUCCCUGACUCAUGCACUCAUGAAUGGGAUUGAUCUCAGCUGUGGCCUCGGCCGUUCCUCACUGCGCUGAGGCCAUUAUGCAAAGGACCAGAGCCCAGAAAUUACCGUGAACAUCAAGUGUGUUGUAGCUAGAGAGCCUGGACUAACGAUGAUAACAUUUCUUCAGACGUCACCAUAUGCCAGACACUAUGCUAAAUAAGUUGAAGCCAGAUGAUAGAGCAUUAGACAGAGCCGGGAGGAGCAGCCGGAGGAGCGACGGGAAGCCAAGCAGAAACGGACACUAUCUGGUCCCAGCUCAGGCUUUGGCUUAAUCGCAACCACAUGAGCAGAAUCAGGGCUGGAAGCGUAGCUGUGAUGAGAAGAGUUUCCUUUGGGAUAGAAUGAGGAUAGAGCUGUUGCGGCCUGAGACAAGCAAACAACUUUCCUCUCUGAGCCAGUCACAGGAAGGAUGCAGCCAGGAAGACCAGUGAGGCUACCUUUCCACAGUACUGGGAACAUCUCCGCUGAAAACCCAUCAUGGUUCUGGGUCAAAAGCAGCACGGAAACAAGUGGAAUUGCCUGCAGACUCAUUCUGAAUAAAGGGUGGGUCCACAUGGAGAAGGCUGCAUCCAGAUGUGCUUGUGAUUGGCUCUGCUUCUAAAGUGUGGAUGCUAUUUUGAGAAGGCUGUUGUAGAUACAGUAUCUCCAGAUCUUACAUCUCAACUUUAAGCCCACUGGAAGAGUGAGAAUCUUUAUUGCAGCAUUCUCAGAAGAAAGUCUGAUUACCCAUCACUUACCAUCUCCUUACCAAUCACUUUGGCUUGGGCCAGCACCACAUGGAGCCCUACCAGAGGAG